Molecule: ribosomal RNA, 373 nt
Filed under: uncultured bacterium
Lineage: Bacteria
Description: bacterial SSU rRNA
Rfam family: Bacterial small subunit ribosomal RNA
Source: RNAcentral
AUACGGAGGUGGCGAGCGUUACUCGGAUUCAUUGGGUGUAAAGGGCAGGUAGGUGUCCUGCUAAGUGGGAGGUGAAAUACUUCGACUCAAUCGAAGAACUGCCUUCCAAACUAGUAGGAUUGAGUGUGAGAGAGGAAAGCGGAACUCUCGGUGUAAGGGAGAAAUCUGUAGAUAUCGAGAGGAACACCAGUUGCGAAGGCGGCUUUCUGGACCACAACUGACACUGAGCUGCGAAAGCUAGGGGAGCGAACAGGAUUAGAUACCCUGGUAGUCCUAGCCGUAAACGAUGAGUACUUGGUGUCUUGGGUUAAACCAAGGUGCCGAAGUUAACACAUUAAGUACUCCACCUGGGGACUACGGCCGCAAGGCUAAA